UACGGAGGAUGCGAGCGUUAUCCGGAUUUAUUGGGUUUAAAGGGUGCGUAGGCGGGCUUUUAAGUCAGCGGUAAAAAUUCGGGGCUCAACCCCGUCCGGCCGUUGAAACUGGGGGCCUUGAGUGGGCGAGAAGAAGGCGGAAUGCGUGGUGUAGCGGUGAAAUGCAUAGAUAUCACGCAGAACCCCGAUUGCGAAGGCAGCCUUCCGGCGCCCUACUGACGCUGAGGCACGAAAGCGUGGGUAUCGAACAGG
Molecule: ribosomal RNA, 252 nt
Filed under: uncultured bacterium
Lineage: Bacteria
Description: partial 16S ribosomal RNA
Rfam family: Bacterial small subunit ribosomal RNA
Source: RNAcentral